This 342-nucleotide unclassified non-coding RNA is filed under the name soil metagenome. RNAcentral's name for it is "partial contains 5.8S ribosomal RNA, internal transcribed spacer 2, and large subunit ribosomal RNA". The stretch from base 4 to 119 matches the Rfam family "5.8S ribosomal RNA", at positions 39 to 154 of the family's 154-position model. The record is from RNAcentral.
GAUAAGAACGUAGCGAAACGCGAUAAGUAAUGUGAAUUGCAGAAUCCAGUGAAUCAUCGAAUCUUUGAACGCACAUUGCGCCCGCCAGCAUUCUGGCGGGCAUGCCUGUUCGAGCGUCAUUUCAACCCUCGACCUCCCCUUGGGGAGGUCGGCGUUGGGGACCGGCAGCACACCGCCGGCCCUGAAAUGGAGUGGCGGCCCGUCCGCGGCGACCUCUGCGCAGUAAUACAGCUCGCACCGGGACCCCGACGCGGCCACGCCGUAAAACACCCAACUUCUGAACGUUGACCUCGAAUCAGGUAGGACUACCCGCUGAACUUAAGCAUAUCAAUAAGCGGAGGA